UUCGUAGGUGGCCGGCUAAGUCAGACGUGAAAUCCCUCAGCUUAACUGGGGAACUGCGUCUGAGACUGGUCGGCUCGAGGGCAGGAGAGGAACGCGGAAUUCCAGGUGUAGCGGUGAAAUGCGUAGAUAUCUGGAGGAACACCGGUGGCGAAGGCGGCGUUCUGGACUGCAUCUGACACUGAGGAACGAAAGCCAGGGAGCAAACG
Molecule: ribosomal RNA, 206 nt
Filed under: uncultured bacterium
Lineage: Bacteria
Description: partial 16S ribosomal RNA
Rfam family: Bacterial small subunit ribosomal RNA
Source: RNAcentral